Molecule: small RNA, 125 nt
Filed under: Marmota monax (woodchuck)
Lineage: Eukaryota; Metazoa; Chordata; Mammalia; Rodentia; Sciuridae
Source: RNAcentral
GCUGGGCAUGGUGGUGCACGCCUGUAAUCCCAGCAGCUCGGGAGGCUGAGGCAGGAAGAUCAAGAAUUCAAAGCCAGCCUCAGCAAAAGUGAAGCUCUAAGCAACUCACUGAGACCCUGUCUCUA